GGGUUCGUGAAUUGGAGAAACAAUAAUUUCAAUGCCAAGGCUUCAAGAGAGAGAACAAUCCCCCAUGCCCCACUGUGGAGCAAGUGCAGCUAACCGGAAGGGACAGGUGAAACGAAGCAUGUAACAACGACGUCGUUUCAAUAGCUGGGUAUUUGGAGAACAGGUCCCACUGAAUAAUUUUCUCCUCCAGUUCCCAGAUUUCCAAACAAAUUCCAAACCCUAGUUCUGAUCCAACUCCCACAAAUCCAGUGAGCGUAUUAAUAUAAAGUGAUUGGAUAAGAUGCAACGCGUUCCGGCAACAAUAGAGGAACAAUUGAUUUUGAAAGCAAUUAGGGAGGAAAGCCCUUGGGAGAACCUUCCGAAACGGCUUCAAGCAACUAUAGCUUCCAAAGAAGAAUGGCACAGAAGGAUAAUUGAACAUUGCAUAAAGAAGAGGCUCCAAUGGAACUCUUGUUUUGCCCGUAAAGUAUGCAAAGAGAGUGAAUAUUAUGAAGAAAUGAUGCGUUAUUUGAGAAAGAACCUAGCACUGUUUCCUUAUCACCUUGCAGAGUAUGUUUGCCGUGUAAUGAGGGUAUCACCUUUCAGAUAUUACUGUGAUAUGAUAUUUGAGGUUAUGAAAAAUGAGCAACCUUAUGACAGCAUUCCAAAUUUCAGCGCUGCUGAUGCAUUGCGGCUUACAGGAAUAGGAAGAAAUGAAUUUAUUGAUAUCAUGAAUAAAUGCAGAUCUAAGAAAAUUAUGUGGAAGCUGAAUAAGUCAAUCGCUAAAGAACUAUUACCCACACAGCCUGUGGACUUUGCAAUUGAACCAUGGUGGGGAGUAUGUCUUGUCAACUUUACCUUGGAAGAAUUUAAGAAACUCUCAGAAGAAGAAAUGGCGACAAUAGAUAAAGUAUGUAAGGAAGAAGCAAACUCAUUUGUCCUUUUUGAUCCUGAUGUUGUAAAGGGUCUUUUCCGACGGGGAUUGAUCUACUUUGAUGUCCCUGUUUAUCCUGAUGACCGCUUUAAAGUGUCCAGGCUUGAAGGGUUUGUAUCCAACAGGGAGCAGUCAUAUGAAGAUCCUAUUGAGGAGUUACUAUAUGCUGUUUUUGUUGUUUCAAGUGAAAAUGCAACUGUUGCCGAAUUGGCUGCGACUUUACAGGCUGACCUACCCCAUCUGCAGGCUGCUGCAUCUUUUGCUUGUCGUUUGGGAUGGGCAGUUAAAGUAAUUGAUCCAUCGUCUAUUCUUGAAGAUUCAAUCAUACCUGGAUAUCCUAAGAUUGGUCUCAAUGAUGAAGAAGAUGGUUCUCAUGCUACUGCAGGCUCAGAAAACAUGUCCAUUGAUGGGAAUACUGUUCAUCAAGGCGAUAUUUCGAGGACAGAAAAUUAUAGACAAGCUUCUAAUCAUACACGUCUUGCUUUUGUUGUUGAUGCUAAUAUAACGUCUUAUCUUAUGAUGGGUUCUGUUUCACCAGGCUUGAAGUCGCAUGCUGUUACACUAUAUGAAGCGGGAAAAUUGGGUCAUGCUAGCAUUGCAGAUCUUUGCAAGGAUCUAAGUACGCUAGAGGGAACCAAAUUUGAAGGAGAAUUGCAGGAAUUUGCUAAUCAUGUAUUUAGUCUCAGAUGCGUGCUUGAAUGUCUGCACUCAGGAGGAGUUGCUACUGACAAGGGAGUAGAGGAAGCUUGUGAUAAUAUGGGUAUGGUAGCUUCAACAAGUGAUGAGGCUACUUCACUGAUAGCUGAUGUCAUGAUUACUGACAAAUCAGGUGACAUUGGUAUGAAUGAAUCUGAAUUGAAUAUUGAUGACUUUGCACGUGAACACGUUAGAAGUAAUGGUGAUGAGACAUUUUCCACCAAUUUAGGAGAGGAUGGUAAUUGCUCAAGUGAGGACUCUAAGUCAGAGCCUAAUUUCCAGAAUGAUGAGAAACUGAUAUCUGCUGAGGGGUCAGAUGUUGGAAAAGGAACUCGAAGGAGGAAAAGGGAAUAUCGUGUGGAUAUCCUCCGUUGUGAAAGCUUGGCUGCUCUUCCAUCAACAACUUUAGAUCGGUUGUUCCUACGUGACUAUGAUAUUCUUGUCUCUAUGGUUCCUCUUCCUUUUUCAUCAGUUCUGCCUGGACCAACAGGUCCUAUUCAUUUUGGUCCUCCCUCCUAUUCAUCUAUGACACCUUGGAUGAAAUUGGUAUUAUAUUCAACUGUGGCUUGUGGACCUCUAUCUGUUGUUCUGAUGAAGGGGCAAUGCUUACGUUUGCUUCCUGUUCCAUUGGCUGGUUGUGAGAAAGCGCUUAUUUGGUCUUGGGAUGGCUCUGCAAUUGGAGGACUGGGAAGCAAGUUUGAAGGAAACUUAGUUAAAGGAAGUAUACUUUUACAUUGUUUAAAUUCACUUCUAAAGUACUCAGCAGUGCUGGUGCAGCCCCUGAGCAGACAUGAUCUUGAUGAAUCUGGAAGAAUAGUUACUAUGGAUAUCCCAUUGCCCCUGAAGAACUGUGAUGGAUCAAUUGCUCGUCUAGGGAAGGAGUUGGGACUAAGUGCUGAGGAAUGUUUGAACUUGAACUCAUUGUUAAUUGAUUUGGCUAACAAAAUAGAGUUGUGGACAGUUGGUUAUGUACGCCUACUAAAACUUUUCAAAGAAAGAGAAUCAGAUCACUUUUUACCUGAUGAUGAAAAGUAUGAAUGGGUCCCAUUAAGUGUGGAAUUUGGGGUUCCCCUUUUUAGUCCAAAAUUGUGCAAUAAUAUUUGCAAACGGGUGGUUUCAUCACAAUUACUUCAAGCAGAUUCACUUUCUGAACAUCAUGAUGCAAUGCAAUGCUUAAGGAAAAGGUUGCGUGAUAUUUGUGCAGAGUACCAAGCUACAGGUCCUGCUGCAAAACUUCUUCAUCAAAAAGAGCAAUUGAAGGACUCAUCUCAACAACUUAUGAACUAUGCCAGCGGAAAGUGGAAUCCACUUUUGGACCCUUCGUCUCCCAUUGCUGGAGCCUUGAGUGACCAUCAGAGAUUAAAACUUGCUAAUCGACAGCGUAGUCGGACUGAAGUUUUAAGCUUCGAUGGUAGCAUUCUUAGAUCAUAUGCUCUAGCUCCUGUCUAUGAGGCUGCCACAAGGCCUGUUGAAGAAUCUCCUGCGGUGGGUACAAUAAAAGUUGAACCUGAUGAUGCUGACAGCAGAGAAGUAGUCCUUCCUGGUGUUUGUCUCCUUUUUGAUGGAUCUGAGUUGCAUCUGUUCGAUAUAGGUGCUUGCUUGCAGGCUCGCCCACCAGUCUCCUUAAUAGCAGAAGCCUCAGCAGCCUCUGCAUCUUCGGCAAUAAAAUAGUCUUCUUUGCUGCAGUCUUACAUGGUAAUAUAGAUAGAAGAGUUUGUCCCAAUACUUAAAAAUGGCAAUCAUCAUGAGCUUCAUGUCGCCUGUCACUGCUGCUUCUUUCAUUCUUCUGCUUCAUCUCUGAUAUUGGUUAUAUGCAUGAGCUAGGGCCGGUGUUUAAGCUUUGGGUUUAUGGCAUAGAAUGUUCAACCUUGUUGGGAUAGAUUGGGUUUCACCCUGUGCAGUGGUGAUGAUGACGAUUUCUUCCAAAGGCUUAUGGCAAGAAAGAAAUGCGAGGAUAUUUAAGAUGCUAAGAGGAUGCAGUUUGGGGCUUGUUCUACUCAUUUUCCUCCCUUUGAACCUUUAUUAGUGAAGCGGAACCCUCUUGAACCUUAUAUUUUUAGAGAGGUAUCUUGUGUACAGGUCAAAGAUGUUGGCUGGAAAAACCUCUCAAGUAUGGUCAUUGUCCAGUGAAAGAGUAGUCAAGUUGAACUUUGAUGGAUGCUCUUUGAGUACCUAGGGCAGUUUGAGAUUGGUGGAGUGAUUAGAGAUCAUCAAUGCUCAGUACUAAAAGCUUUGCUAUUGAUGUUCAGAUUUUAGCAAAGCAUUUGGGUUUGUCCAAUCUUGUAGUGGAGGGUGAUUCUACUUUUGCUACAAAGAGGGGAAGCUCCAUCUGUUGAGUUCUGGACUUAGCCAAUCAUGUGGAUGACUAUGUUGCUAAAAGAGUAGCAAAGCAUUUGAUAUCUUUUGUUGGAAAUUUUUGGCCUCCUUAAGUUGUAAUUAGCAUCUGUUCAAGUUUUGCUUCAGUUUUUGUAACAUCUUUUGGUAGUUCAGCUUGUGAGGCUCUUUGUAUAGGAGUUCCUUUGCUUAUCUUGGACGGAGUUAUAUAUUGUGAAAAUGAUGUAUUGGCCUUCUUUGUCUUUUUAGAAAAGAUCUGGAGUGUUUCUGAUUAAAA
Vitis vinifera (wine grape) is the source of this 4220-nucleotide RNA transcript. RefSeq lists it as uncharacterized. The transcript is spliced from 12 exons. NCBI's taxonomy places the organism in Eukaryota, Viridiplantae, Streptophyta, Magnoliopsida, Vitales, Vitaceae. The record is from RefSeq and is a predicted model, not a curated record.